Molecule: ribosomal RNA, 573 nt
Filed under: Omegophora cyanopunctata
Lineage: Eukaryota; Metazoa; Chordata; Actinopteri; Tetraodontiformes; Tetraodontidae
Description: partial 16S rRNA
Rfam family: Bacterial large subunit ribosomal RNA
Source: RNAcentral
CGCCUCUUGCAAAAACAAUGAAUAAGAGGUCCUGCCUGCCCUGUGACUAUAUGUUUAACGGCCGCGGUAUUUUGACCGUGCAAAGGUAGCGCAAUCACUUGUCCUUUAAAUGAGGACCUGUAUGAAUGGCAUAACGAGGGCUUAACUGUCUCCUCUUUCAAGUCAAUGAAAUUGAUCUUCCCGUGCAGAAGCGGGAAUAAAAACAUAAGACGAGAAGACCCUAUGGAGCUUUAGACAUAAAACAGAUCAUGUUAAACAUCUUAAAAUAAAAGAACAAACUAAAUGAACCCUGUUCAAAUGUCUUUGGUUGGGGCGACCGCGGGGUAACAAAAAACCCCCAUGUGGAAUAAAAAUACCCUUUUUAAAACCAAGAGCCACUGCUCUAAUAAACAGAAAAUCUGACCAAUCAGAUCCGGCUUAGCCGAUCAACGAACCGAGUUACCCUAGGGAUAACAGCGCAAUCCUCUUUUAGAGUCCAUAUCGACAAGAGGGUUUACGACCUCGAUGUUGGAUCAGGACAUCCUAAUGGUGCAGUCGCUAUUAAGGGUUCGUUUGUUCAACGAUUAAAGUCCU